Molecule: ribosomal RNA, 207 nt
Filed under: uncultured bacterium
Lineage: Bacteria
Description: partial 16S ribosomal RNA
Rfam family: Bacterial small subunit ribosomal RNA
Source: RNAcentral
UGCGUAGGCCGCACGGUAAGUCAGAGGUGAAAUCCCGGAGCUCAACUCCGGAAUGGCCUCCGAUACUGCCGUGCUCGAGGACUGGAGAGGAGUCUGGAAUUCACAGUGGAGCAGUGAAAUGCGUAGAUAUUGUGAGGAACACUAGUGGCGAAGGCGAGACUCUGGACAGUUCCUGACGCUGAGGCACGAAGGCCAGGGGAGCAAACG